Molecule: ribosomal RNA, 493 nt
Filed under: uncultured bacterium
Lineage: Bacteria
Description: bacterial SSU rRNA
Rfam family: Bacterial small subunit ribosomal RNA
Source: RNAcentral
UAAGGAAUAUUGGUCAAUGGACGCAAGUCUGAACCAGCCAUGCCGCGUGAAGGAUGAAGGCCCUCUGGGUUGUAAACUUCUUUUAUCUGGGAAGAAAUGCAUGCUUUUUAGCGUGUUUGACGGUACCAGAGGAAUAAGCACCGGCUAACUCCGUGCCAGCAGCCGCGGUAAUACGGAGGGUGCAAGCGUUAUCCGGAUUCACUGGGUUUAAAGGGUGCGUAGGGUGGGGCUUGUAAGUCAGUGGUGAAAUCUCCGUGCUUAACAUGGAAACUGCCAUUGAUACUAUAGGUCUUGAAUUUUCUGGAGGUUAGCGGAAUAUGUCAUGUAGCGGUGAAAUGCUUAGAUAUGACAUAGAACACCAAUUGCGAAGGCAGCUAGCUACAGGGAUAUUGACACUGAGGCACGAAAGCGUGGGGAUCAAACAGGAUUAGAUACCCUGGUAGUCCACGCCCUAAACGAUGGAUACUCGACAUUUGUGAUACACAAUAAGUGU